GAUGAACGCUGGCGGCGUGCUUAACACAUGCAAGUCGAACGAUGAAGGAGGAGCUUGCUCCUCCGGAUUAGUGGCGAACGGGUGAGUAACACGUGAGCAAUCUGCCCCAGACUCUGGGAUAAGCGUUGGAAACGACGUCUAAUACCGGAUACGAGCCGAGCAGGCAUCUGCAUCGGCUGGAAAGAACUUCGGUCUGGGAUGAGCUCGCGGCCUAUCAGCUAGUUGGUGAGGUAACGGCUCACCAAGGCGACGACGGGUAGCCGGCCUGAGAGGGUGACCGGCCACACUGGGACUGAGACACGGCCCAGACUCCUACGGGAGGCAGCAGUGGGGAAUAUUGCACAAUGGGCGCAAGCCUGAUGCAGCAACGCCGCGUGAGGGACGAAGGCCUUCGGGUUGUAAACCUCUUUUAGCAGGGAAGAAGCGAAAGUGACGGUACCUGCAGAAAAAGCACCGGCUAACUACGUGCCAGCCGCCGCCGUAA
RNAcentral lists this ribosomal RNA (484 nucleotides) under uncultured bacterium. RNAcentral describes it as "partial 16S ribosomal RNA". It matches the Rfam family "Bacterial small subunit ribosomal RNA", at positions 28 to 523 of the family's 1533-position model. The record is from RNAcentral.